This 468-nucleotide ribosomal RNA is filed under the name uncultured bacterium. RNAcentral describes it as "partial 16S ribosomal RNA". It matches the Rfam family "Bacterial small subunit ribosomal RNA", at positions 28 to 507 of the family's 1533-position model. The record is from RNAcentral.
GACGAACGCUGGCGGCGUGCUUAACACAUGCAAGUCGAACGGAAAGGCCCUGCUUUUGUGGGGUUCUCGAGUGGCGAACGGGUGAGUAACACGUGAGUAACCUGCCCUUGACUUUGGGAUAACUUCAGGAAACUGGGGCUAAUACCGGAUAGGAGCUCCUGCUGCAUGGUGGGGGUUGGAAAGUUUCGUCGGUUGGGGAUGGACUCGCGGCUUAUCAGCUUGUUGGUGGGGUAGUGGCUUACCAAGGCUUUGGCGGGUAGCCGGCCUGAGAGGGUGACCGGCCACAUUGGGACUGAGAUACGGCCCAGACUCCUACGGGAGGCAGCAGGGGGGAAUAUUGCACAAUGGGCGGAAGCCGGAUGCAGCAACGCCGCGUGCGGGAUGACGGCCUUCGGGUUGUAAACCGCUUUCGCCUGUGACGAAGCGUGAGUGACGGUAAUGGGUAAAGAAGCACCGGCUAACUACGUG